RNAcentral lists this ribosomal RNA (465 nucleotides) under Vreelandella stevensii. Its description in RNAcentral is "partial 16S ribosomal RNA". It matches the Rfam family "Bacterial small subunit ribosomal RNA", at positions 338 to 795 of the family's 1533-position model. The record is from RNAcentral. Lineage: Bacteria; Pseudomonadati; Pseudomonadota; Gammaproteobacteria; Oceanospirillales; Halomonadaceae.
CCUACGGGGGGCUGCAGUGGGGAAUAUUGGACAAUGGGCGAAAGCCUGAUCCAGCCAUGCCGCGUGUGUGAAGAAGGCCUUCGGGUUGUAAAGCACUUUCAGUGGGGAAGAAAGCCUUGGGGCUAAUACCCUCGAGGAAGGACAUCACCCACAGAAGAAGCGCCGGCUAACUCCGUGCCAGCAGCCGCGGUAAUACGGAGGGUGCGAGCGUUAAUCGGAAUUACUGGGCGUAAAGCGCGCGUAGGCGGUCUGAUAAGCCGGUUGUGAAAGCCCCGGGCUCAACCUGGGAACGGCAUCCGGAACUGUCAGGCUAGAGGGCAGGAGAGGAAGGUAGAAUUCCCGGUGUAGCGGUGAAAUGCGUAGAGAUCGGGAGGAAUACCAGUGGCGAAGGCGGUCUUCUGGACUGACACUGACGCUGAGGUGCGAAAGCGUGGGUAGCAAACAGGAUUAGAUACCCUAGUAGUC